Non-coding RNA from Lolium perenne, 2454 nucleotides. The record is from RefSeq and is a predicted model, not a curated record. Lineage: Eukaryota; Viridiplantae; Streptophyta; Magnoliopsida; Poales; Poaceae.
GAGGCGGGUGAUGUGCACAGGCGUGGGGGACGGAGGAGGCGCAGGGGGUGCAGAGGAGGUGGGGGACGGAGGUGGCUGGGGACCGAGGGUGGCACGAGCAGAUGGCUACUCGGGGUCAAUCGUGGGCAUCACCGAGAUUCGUCUAGGUGUUCGAUGAAAAGGCAAGUGGACUGCAAGUAUUCAUGAGGAGGAGAAGCAUGAGAGGGGAGUGGUUCUGGAAUCUGGAUAUGGAGCCUGGAGGAGGGAGCUCGAGAAGCGCCGCAGGGAUGGAGGUGGAGGAUCAGGGAGCGGCUGUACUGGGCUACUGGCCUAGCGAACCAGAGGACGUCGAUGCUGACCUGAUACACCGCUGAAUCUGUCUACAAUUUAUCCUCUCCGGGUUCCUUGCAAGGGCAAAGGGCUGUUGGUUGUCAAGAUUUGAGUUUGAGUGGUCAGAUGGUGCAAGAGGUUUGACUUAACUAGAUUUUGUGUGAGGUGCUAGGGGCAAGGAUUGGGGUGCGCUUUCAGCUACAUGUUGGGAUUGAGCAAGAACACUCCAUGCAUAAUUGAUGGUGCCUUUUAAUUGCACAAUUCUACAAUUUUUAGAAUAACUCUUUGAAGAGUGCAGCGGCAGUGCCUUAGGGUCAAAUACUGCUAUUUACGCCGCUUUGUUGGUCCAUUUGUUCACUGAAUGGGGGGUCUGUUCAGAUUGAGGUGGUUCAGAUGAUUAAUUGGUUUUUCUUCUGUAUGCAUAGAAGGAGAAGGAAAAGGAUAAAGGACAUGCUCUGGCUUUAUAGAAUAUGGUAUCCAACCAAAGUAUUUUACCUAUCCCGAUAAGAAGCCCGACCUGGAAAAUUGGUAUUGUCUGUAACCUCAAAUGUUAAAAAUUGAGCCAGCAUACGAAGACUGGAAAGCCUAACCAAGAGGACCAAGAGGUAUAUUUCCUGAAGCCCGCACUUGCAUUUGUUUUUUCAAGCAUUAUGUAUAAGCUAGAGUUGUUUGGGCUCAUGUGCCUGUACGCAGAAAUUUAUCCUUGUUAUUUUGCCGGCCAGUGUCUGAGAUGCUCCAUGCUUUUGGCUGCACGGAUAAUUAGGAGAUUCCUAUACUGAUGUCGCGUUUCUAUGCCCUGACAUCAAAAUUGAAAAUACUUCUGUAAAUUUUGCGGCACAGGAUGUUGUGGAAGAUGAGCUGAGAACUGAAGGCACCAUUAGUGCGAAUGACAAUCGAUGGAUCUCGAGACAAAAGCCAACAAAGAUGGUACUGACGAGGGUAUGCAGGUUGCACCUGAACCAUAUUUACCUAUUAACAGUCUCUACUGCUAUUUAGUAGAUUAACAUUGUAUUGUACCAUUUAGUUGUUAAUCGCACACAUUGUUAGUGGAUGUUGUCUAAAAAUAGUUCUGAGGAAUAUUGAAUUAGCUAUUUUUUAUAUCCCUGUGCAGUGGCGGUAUCUCGCGUGGCUUGAACUCUCAGUAUAUGUAUUUACCAAUUUUAUGCCUUUCUAUGUGUUUCUAGGCUCUGUGCGGUCAUUUUUGUCCAAUAUUUACUUUAAUCUAGGGUGCCCACUACUAUCAAAGAUAUGUCUGACAAUUAAAUCAUAUUUCCUCCACGUUUGUUUAUGGUGGUCAAGCGCAGUUUUUUAAUGGUGAGACCCGUUCGGAACCAAGGCAUUGAAACAAUGGUGUUGUUGAUAUGAGAAGUGUUGGUGAGAAUUGCGAUGCCUCGCAGUUCCUAGCGGGAUGGCAUCGACCAACUUUGCGGAUAAUAGAUGACUUUUUAUGCUUUCCCUGGAUGUAUGGGAGGAUGAUAAUAAUUGAUUUAUAUUCAAUGAUUUUAUCUCUUUGUUCUGUCCAUUGCAGGUCUUUGGGCAAAAAGAUAAGCAUAUGCUGAUGAAAAAGGACAUAUCUGCCAAAGAACAAGGCAGCUUGUUUUGAUGCCCUUGAGAGUUUGCUUAAUUGCUUUUGUUACUAUUUGGCUUGAUGCCAAAAUUUUGUCAAGGUUAUGUUCUAUUUUUUCCCCGGUUCAUUUUUGGAGACAAAAAGAGCAAAUAUUUGAGUUGCCAAUUUGAUCUGCGGAAUUUGGCUUGGUUUUCAUUGGCUUCUUUUAGGCACAAAACCAAUCAGGACUUUUUCUUUUGCAGCAUUUAUUUGCUUUCUUUGUUUCUGCCUUCUCAUUGUUUGCUAAUUUCAUAUGUACGGGAUUAAACACACAUAUAUAUUGCGUGAUCCUUUUGAGGAUCCUCGGGUUGCUGAAUUUAUUCAUGAGAAUUCUCCGUCAGGAAAGCCACAUGAUUAGCUACUUUCAGUCAUGCUGUUUGUGUGUACACAGUUAACAAGAGCUUAUUUUCUCAAUGCCAUAUGGUGAUUCAAACUUUGGCUUUCAUUUUGGCGUAGUUAGUUUGCCGCCUGGUCCCAUGUUGUGGUUAAUAGACGACUUAAAUCUAUAUUAGAGUUUGUUUCCAUCAACUCGUGUUAUU